This 506-nucleotide ribosomal RNA is filed under the name uncultured bacterium. RNAcentral's name for it is "partial 16S ribosomal RNA". It matches the Rfam family "Bacterial small subunit ribosomal RNA", at positions 29 to 523 of the family's 1533-position model. The record is from RNAcentral.
AGUGAACACUGGCGGUAGGCCUAACACAUGCAAGUCGAACGGCAGCACAGGAGAGCUUGCUCUCUGGGUGGCGAGUGGCGGACGGGUGAGGAAUACAUCGGAAUCUACUCUGUCGUGGGGGAUAACGUAGGGAAACUUACGCUAAUACCGCAUACGACCUACGGGUGAAAGCAGGGGACCUUCGGGCCUUGCGCGAUUGAAUGAGCCGAUGUCGGAUUAGCUAGUUGGCGGGGUAAAGGCCCACCAAGGCGACGAUCCGGAGCUGGGCUGAGAGGAUGAUCAGCCACACUGGAACUGAGACACGGUCCAGACUCCUACGGGAGGCAGCAGUGGGGAAUAUUGGACAAUGGGCGCAAGCCUGAUCCAGCCAUACCGCGUGGGUGAAGAAGGCCUUCGGGUUGUAAAGCCCUUUUGUUGGGAAAGAAAUCCAGCUGGCUAAUACCCGGUUGGGAUGACGGUACCCAAAGAAUAAGCACCGGCUAACUUCGUGCCAGCAGCCGCGGUAA